Molecule: ribosomal RNA, 424 nt
Filed under: uncultured prokaryote
Description: bacterial SSU rRNA
Rfam family: Bacterial small subunit ribosomal RNA
Source: RNAcentral
CAACGAAUAUUCCGCAAUGGGCGAAAGCCUGACGGAGCGACGCCGCGUGAGGGAUGAAGUCCCUUCGGAAUGUAAACUUCAAUAGUACGCCAGGAACCGAUCUUGGCUAAUACCUGAGAAAGUUGACCAGCGUACGAAAGAGGCGGCUAACUCCGUGCCAGCAGCCGCGGUAAUACGGAGGCCUCGAGCGUUGUUCGGAAUCACUGGGCUUAAAGCGCGUGUAGGCGGAACGGUAAGUACUGAGUGAAAGCCCCGGCUUCAAUCCGGGAACUGCUUGGUAUACUGUCGUUCUUGAGGCAGGUAGGGGUCACUGGAACCUUAGGUGGAGCGGUGAAAUGCGUAGAUAUCUAAGGGAACGCCUGUGGCGAAAGCGGGUGACUGGGCCUGUCCUGACGCUGAGACACGAAAGCGUAGGGAGCAAACG